Molecule: ribosomal RNA, 520 nt
Filed under: uncultured Glomus
Lineage: Eukaryota; Fungi; Glomeromycota; Glomeromycetes; Glomerales; Glomeraceae
Description: SSU rRNA
Rfam family: Eukaryotic small subunit ribosomal RNA
Source: RNAcentral
AGCAGCCGCGGUAAUUCCAGUUCCAAUAGCGUAUAUUAAAGUUGUUGCAGUUAAAAAGCUCGUAGUUGAAUUUCGGGAUCAAUACGUCGGUCGUGCUUCGGUACGUACUGGCGUCAUUGAUUUCUCCCUUCUGACGAACCAUGAUGUCAUUAACUUGGUGUCAUGGGAAAUCAGGACUGUUACUUUGAAAAAAUUAGAGUGUUUAAAGCAGGCUCACGCUUGAAUACAUUAGCAUGGAAUAAUGAAAUAGGACGUUCGAUCCUAUUUUGUUGGUUUUUAGGAUCAACGUAAUGAUUAAUAGGGAUAGUUGGGGGCAUUAGUAUUCAAUUGUCAGAGGUGAAAUUCUUGGAUUUAUUGAAGACUAACUACUGCGAAAGCAUUUGCCAAGGAUGUUUUCAUUAAUCAAGAACGAAAGUUAGGGGAUCGAAGACGAUCAGAUACCGUCGUAGUCUUAACCAUAAACUAUGCCGACUAGGGAUCGGAUGAUGUUAAUUUUUAAUGACUCAUUCGGCGCCUUACG